AGAGUCUGAAAACCUCAGAGCAGGAUGGACACAAGUGCACGGAGCAGGGAAAGAACCAUGACUAAAUAAGUCAGAAGCUCUACCUGUGACUGGCUUUACAACACCAGAUAUUUUAAAGCUCCCUGCAUCACCCUCUGGACUGGCAAAACAAGUCAGAGUACUGCAGGAAAUUGAGGACCCUGAGCUGCGCUUGGCAGCUCCAAAACAAUGGCACAGUGCUUGCCGGAUGCCAGCCCCACCAAGGUGAUCCAGAAUCCAGAGGCUGACAUCAAGGACUCGAGUGAAGUUUCAACUGAGUCUGCAUCAGCUGUGGCGGUCAAAGUCAGACCUGCAGACCUGGGGCUGAUUCGAAGCCUGUCCAAGUCGGACUCUGACUUGCUGGCGUCACCACUCGGAGAAGAGGAAGGAGGUCUGGCCGGCCGCAGUGGGUCGGUGUCUAACUGCAGCUCUGGGCAGCCGUCCAUGAAGCGCAUGCCUUCCUUUGCCUCUGAGUGGGAUGAGAUUGAGAAGAUCAUGAACUUGAUUGGAGCAGGCAUUGAAACGUCCAAAAACAAACAGCCCACACCAAGCUCAGAUGGGGCCUGUGGUAAAGCCCUGGACCAGCCGGUGGGAGAGUGGCUGGAGCACGUGGGGCUGCCGCAGUACGAGAGCAAGUUCCUGCUCAAUGGUUUCGACGACCUACGAUUCAUGGGAAGUAACGUGAUGGAGGACCAGGACCUCAGAGACAUCGGGAUCACUGACCCAGGACACAGAAAGAAAAUCCUCCAUGCGGCACGCAGCUUGCCCAAGGUAAAAGCACUGGGCUGUGAUGGCAGCACAUCUCUUGCCUCUUGGCUGGACGGCCUCGGCCUGCAUGAAUAUCUGCCCAACUUUCUCUCAAGUGGCUACCGCACACUGGAGUGUGUUAAGAACCUGUGGGAGCUGGAGAUCGUCAAUGUUAUUAAGAUUGGUCCCCUGGGCCACAGGAAGAGGAUCAUUGCCUCUCUAGCAGAGAGACCUUAUGAAGAGGCUCCGACUAAGUCCCGUCGUCUGUCCCCAAUUAUGUUUCAUGACCUCCUGUCCCAGACCACAUCCCCCCUCAGUCAGAUGGACCCCUACACCAGUCGCUCCAUGGACAUGCUCCUGCCCCUGACUGAGUCGGACCGGAGGCGGAGAGGAAUCGACCAAGACUGUAGUGUAUCUGUGCGGUCUUACAGCGAGAGGCCGCGCUCUGUAGACAGACAGAGCGAGAGACACAAAGAGUCUCGUUUAAACCUCCGGCCACCGAGCCACUCUGCUACCUACGCCACGGUGUCCGCCUGGCAUCACCAGCCCGAGAAACUCAUCCUGGACUCCUGCGGUUACGAGGCAACUUACCUAGGAUCAAUGAUAAUCAGGGAUCUACGAGGGAUCGAGUCCACACAAGAUGCCUGUGCUAAAAUUAGGAAAUCCAAGGAUUCAAGAAAGGGUCCAGUUGUCAUACUGUCCAUUACCUACAGAGGGGUCAAGUUCAUCGAUGCAGCCACAAAGACCAUAGUUGCGGAGCAUGAGAUCAGGAACAUCUCAUGUGCUGCCCAAGACCCAGAUGACCUCUGCACUUUUGCCUACAUUACCAAGGAUCUGAAGAGUGGCCACCACUUCUGCCAUGUCUUCAGCACUGUGGAAGUGACACAGACCUACGAGAUCAUACUUACACUGGGACAGGCGUUUGAGGUGGCCUAUCAGAUGGCGAUCCAGUCAAGGGCGAGACACUAUGUCCCCCCUUCAUCUCUGGCCUCAGAGGUCAUAGAGACCAAAACCAGCCGUCCCGUAUCUCAGUCGUGGAGCAGCAUGCGGAGAUCAGCAAUCGAUCCCCUGGAGAUGGACGCAGACAUGCAGUCCCUGGGCAGCACCACCUGGCUCUUGGACCAGCGGGACUCCAACAGGCGCCCCGUCAGCACCAAGUACGAGACCACCAUAUUCUGAGGCCGGAUACCCACAGCCACCCCUCUGCACCCCCCUCGUACUUUCCUCUCCCCCCUGCAUCCGGUUCUUCAUUUAUCUAUCUCUCACACACACGCACACACACACAUACACAUAUAUACAUACAUGCGAGCCCCGUGCCUUCUCACUGUGAUGGUAUAGCACCCCUCAGGGCUGCCUACUCCUGCACCCUCCUUUGCCCUGCCCAGCGACCCACACCAACCUCCUACCCGCCAUGACAAACACUCCUGCGGCUCUCCCGUGCCUCCCCAACACCCCUGGCAGCCUCGCUCGCCUGUUGCUGCUGCAGCCAGUGGCGGAGCCCUGGAACGGAUGAUCCUGGACUGAUCUCAUUUUACAGUGGCCCUGCUCUCUCAACCAAACUGCCUCUUCCUCCUCAUCCUCCUCUUCCUGACAACUUGCAUCUGCCUCCAAAUCCCCGAUAGCUCCCAGAGCCUGUCCUGUCUUACCAGGCAUCUACCACUGUGAGGCACUAUGAGGAGGCUGCUUUGCUAGCAUGGGAUGCAAGACGGACAAAUAAUCAGUGAAAGACAAAACAGCAACAUGCAGCAAACAACCUGUUUUUUUGUUUUUUGUUUUUCUACGCAUUUGUACAGUACUCAUAAUAACAACACGAUGGAUGGGUCACGGAUCUGUCAGUGAUGUCUGAACUCAAACGGACCAAGUACGACUGAACCCUCGUACAAAAAAACACACAGGAGGACAACUUUCCUACAUUUUACGAGGACAACAGCCUUACUUCAUUUCGGGUUAUCUAUAAUCAACUAAAGCCCCCUCCCCCCCAACCUUCCCCUCAACCUCCCUGAAUACCACCACCACCACCACUACCCAACAACUGCACGCCUCCCCCUGUUCCUAAAAGACUUAAGAAGAAAAAAAAAAAAAAAGACAACACUUCUGAUUUCCUGGUGUAUUAAACUGACUGUGACUGGCUGGGAUGACGUCGUUCUUUUGAUGGUACAGUUUUGUCCAGAUGAGAGUCUUUGCUCUGGCCUUGUACUGCCCUGUGCCUCUCAGCAUUCAUGGUAGCACUGAGAGACUGCAAAUCACAGCAUCUUCUUCUUCUCUAUUAAAAAAAAAGAAAGAAAGAAAAAGAAAAACACUGUGUUAAAACAUGGCACUAUCCCUUUUAAUACCUUUUCUUUUUCUUACAGUGCAAAUAGGACAUUAGUGCAUUUUGUGAUACUUUUUGAUAGACGGGGGCUGACUGAAAUACUUUGGGGCAGAAUGAUUAAGAAGGGAUCAUGAAGGGAUCCCGACAUUAAUACAACCAGAGGCAAAAAAAAAAAAGGAUACUACCAAAAAAAAAACCCCACAAACAUAUGUUGUGAACUGACAUUGGUUUCACAUUUCACAAUUUUGGUAAUCUAAACAAAAAUGUCCAUAACAAGAUUUCAUUUAUCUCGAGUGUAUUAAUGAGCCCCCAGCACAAUAUGGCGCACAUUUCCCAACAUAGCAUCUUAUUAUCAUGAUUACAUGGGUAGGUAUCCAUGCUGUUUCACACCAAUUUAGAAUUAGGUACAGUACACGCAAAGUAUGUCACUUGAAAAUAAGCGGCGGUGAAAAGAUUUAAUUCCACUACAUUAAAAGAGCCAAGUCUAAAUGUUGCUCCUCUGGUGUUGUGUUAAUGCGAAUUGAUUUGUUAUGCUGAGAACGUGACACUAUUUUUUUUUUUUUUAAAGAAUUUUCCUCCUGCACUGUGAAAUGCUCAGAAAUUUCUGAAAUACUCAGAAAUGCUCGUCGUGGAGUCGACACAUAUCUGUGGGUUCUCCCCUGUGUGCACUACCUGCUGUGCGUGCUGUAUGCCUUGUUUCUGUCUGUCCUCAUGGGAGUUUGGACUGUUAUCGUUACAUCACUGGCCACUGUCCUUGUUUGUGUGUGCUGCAGGAGACGUGAGGUUUUGAGCUCCUCUCCAGAAGACGGUGUGUCUGGAGACUGACUGUUAAGAUGUAACCGGUCUGUGUGCGGUACCGUGGCUGCGUCAUUGCCACUCUGUUCUGACUGUUAACUGUUAGCUUCCACUGACGAUGCAUGUUGGCAGUGUCUUUUGUGUUUUGUACCCUUUGAUGCACUUGGCCUGAGCAGUUCUCUGUAUGUACUGUAGCAGUGUCUCGUCUCCUCUCGCUCAUCCGCUUUUUAUGUUCCCUCGCUCUUCGUUACACACCGACAUGCAGCGAUUCACCCUCAUCCCUACCUCCACGUUCCCAUUGUCGUCACUCCUCCAACAUUUUUGUUGUCACGUAUGUUCUUCCAUUUUGUGUGUCACCAAGACAACCUGCUCUACUAUGGAUGCAUAAUACAAAAGCAUUACACUUUAAUGAGCAGCAGCUAUUUAAAGCAAGUUUUGGUGGCAUGAUAUGGCUGUGCAUGUACCAGUCUUUUUAACAUUGGUGUUUUCCUUGUGUAGCUCACCCCAGCGUUCAAGUUUCCGGAUACCAAGCUGUGAGUUGAAGGGGAGCAGCCGAAGUGAGUGUGUUUUCGUGUGUUGAGUUAGCGGGCAGAGCAGUGGAAAAGAGAUAGAGAGAGAGAGAGAGGGGGGGAGCAAAACGAGAGGUAAGCCUUACGCAACGUGCAGGGCCAACCAGCGCUACUCUGACAUUUAGAUCUCACUCUGUAUAUCCCCUCUGCUCCUCCACUGCCCCCCCCCCACCCCCCCCGAUACGAAUCCCAACACACAGACGAAAGGUAACCUGUUGUCCCACAUCACUGGCUAAAACGGGGCCGGUGUUUCACUCCUGUCUUGAGAAAGGUCAGUGAGAAAGGUCAAGUCUAUUUCCUGGCCUCCAUGUGACUUUCUGAUCUUGUCAUGUAGGUACUGUAAUGUUUAGAGCACUGUAGACCAUUAAUGAUAUAGACCAUUAAUGAGCAUUUCUAUUGAUUCAGGUCUAUUGGAGAUAGUAACUGUGGGAAUUAUGAAAGGGUAAAGAGAAAUGUAAGAAAAUGUAGAGAAAAAAAAAAAAACUGUACCAGCAUACAAAGCUUUGCCCAUGUUUGUGGACAGAGUAUGGUUUGUCAAUGAAAAUGUGAUACUGUUUCAAAUUUCAAAGCAAUAUUAUAUUAAUGAAAUUAAAUAAUACAAUGACAAAAGAA
Molecule: RNA transcript, 5052 nt
Organism: Toxotes jaculatrix (banded archerfish)
Lineage: Eukaryota; Metazoa; Chordata; Actinopteri; Toxotidae
Gene: anks1ab
Gene name: ankyrin repeat and sterile alpha motif domain containing 1Ab
Exons: 15
Source: RefSeq, a predicted model, not a curated record